CGCUGGCGGGGCGGGGCUCCUGAAGGGCGGGGCCUCAUGAGGAGGCGCGCCUCUAGCAGCCCCUGCGCGGCUGCCUCCUGGCUGUGAGCUUUCCCGGCCGUCCUCCCUCCCGUGAUGUACACCCAGUUGCCUCUAAUCCGCUACUGCGAUGAACAUCUUUGUGCCUGUCCCCUUGUGAACCUGGACUCCAGUUUCUCUGGGAUGCAUCCCUGGAAUGGAUUACUGGAUCAUAUUCACUUCUAAUAAACAUUUUCAAUGGAGAUGAUGAAAUCAGUGCAGACAAGGCUGCUUUUAUUUAGAAGAAGGAAUGAAAAGCAUGUUUUUUAAGCUGGUGGAUUGGCAAAUCGAGUCAAAGGUUUUAAAGGAUCUGGCUGCUGCCUGACUGAUUUAAAGAAUAUCAUUUUCUGAUGAAAUAGGGGGAAAAGAAGGUGCUAGGGGGUGAAGAAGUAUGGGAUUUUAUCACCAAAGACCUCAGAGCAACCUGAGUGCCAGAGUUCUGGACUUGGACAGAGUGAAGCAAGAAAGGAAUAGGAGAGAAAACUGAGCUCCUUCAAGAGAUCAACAGG
This is a long non-coding RNA of Herpailurus yagouaroundi (jaguarundi), 566 nucleotides long. RefSeq lists it as uncharacterized. NCBI's taxonomy places the organism in Eukaryota, Metazoa, Chordata, Mammalia, Carnivora, Felidae. The record is from RefSeq and is a predicted model, not a curated record. The transcript is spliced from 6 exons.